RNAcentral lists this non-coding RNA (22 nucleotides) under Rattus norvegicus (Norway rat). Lineage: Eukaryota; Metazoa; Chordata; Mammalia; Rodentia; Muridae. The record is from RNAcentral.
UUUGAUCACAGAGUCAGGAAAA